CUGUGUGCAGUGGAGCUCGGUCCUGAUCGUAUGUGAGAAGGAUCUGAAGUUGAGCACAUCCGCUAGGACCCGAAAGAUAGCGAACUUUUCCUGGGCCGAAGGAAGCCAGGGGAAACCUUGGUGGACGUUCGAAUCAAUGCUGACGUGCAAAUCGCUUGUCAGAUCCAGGUAAAGGGGCGAAAGACUAAUCGAGCUAUCUAGUAGCUGGUUCCCCCCGAAGUUUCUCUCAGGAUAGCUGGGAACCUCGAGUUGCGCCUGGUAAAGCAAAUGAUCAGAAGCAUUGGGAUGUUUUUUAUCUCAACUUAUUCUCAAACUCUAAAUGGGCGCGGAGCAUAGCUUUCUUUCAUGAAGCUAUGACUUGAAUCUCGGUUCCCAUGUGGGCCAUUUUUGGUAAGCAGAAUUGGCGACGCGGGAUGAACCGAUAGUAGCUCUAAGGAACCUAAGCCGUCGGCUUAGACAGAACCCAUUGAAGGAUGUUGGUGUAGGAAGACAGCAGGGCCGUGGCCAUGGAAGUAGGAAUCGGCCAAGGAGUGUGUAACAACUCACCUGCCGACUGCACCAGCUCCCAAAAUGGACGAUGCUUAAGCCGCGCUCCGAUGGGCUACCGCCGCAGCCGUAGACACAAUCGGCCGGCGCGUAGGGGGGCGUGGGGCACGGGCAGAAGUGUGUGAGGUGACUCCACAUGGACCGUGCACCCAGUGCAGAUCUUGGUUGUAGUAGCGAUUAUUCUGUGGAGGACACAGAAGAUUGAAGCGGAGUCGGUUUCCAUGUGAACAGUACUUGGACAUGGGUUAGUCGGUCCUAACCCCCGAGGAAAUCCUCCUUGGAAAGGCCUCGCGACAAGGAGUAGUCGUUAACUCUCUCUCCGGGGAGUUGAUGGUUACUCCGUGUUCGUAGGCAUCGGGGGACAGGGAACUCGGUCCAACAUUCCGAGACCCACCUGUGGGGAUUAGAGGCUGCAAAGCAGUUGACAACGGAAGGCCGCAGGGUAGUCAAGCCCGAGGAGAGCUUUCUUUUCUCUUUGACAUUGCUGACGCCUCGAAUAACAUUCCAGUUGGAGAAAGGCGUCUGAACACAUAGAGAAAGCGGUGCACUCUCAGCGCCGUUCGGAGCCUUGAUUAUCCUCAUGGAAGACCUUCCUGAGAUCUCAUCCCUCACGGGCGGACCGUACCGAUAACCGCAUCCGGACUCCGAGGUGAAUAGCCUCUGGUCCAUGGAGCAAUGUGACCAAGGGAAGUCGGCAAAAUAGACGCGUAACUUCGGGAGAAGCGUUGGCUCCAAGGGCUGGAUGUCAGAAGCCAGCAACACUGACGGUUCUGGGGGCUGUGGAAUAGAUGAGUUCUCGGGUCCUCGGAUCUGAGAACAAGUCGGUUCCACGGCACCCCCUGAUGGGUUGUUGGAUUUUUGGCAUUGCGAACAGCCAACUUGGAACUGUCGCCGACAAGGGGAAUCCAACUGUUUAAUUGAAACAUAGCAUUGAGACUCGCACGUUGAGGCAGUCGUUGACUCAAGGUGCGUCCUGCCCAGUGCUCUGAAUGUUAAUGCAAAGAGAUUUUAUCAAGCUCGGGUAAACGGCGGGAGUAACUAUGACUCUCUUAAGGUAGCCAAAUGCCUCGUCUUCUAACUAAAGACGCGCAUGAAUGGAUUAAUGAGAUUCCCACUGUCCCUGGUUACUAUCCAGCGAACCAACAGCCAAGGGAACGGGCUUGAAGUCUUCAGCGGGGAAAGAAGACCCUGUUGAGUUUGACUCUAAUCUGGACUUGUGCAGUGACAUUCGAGGUGUAGGAUAGGUGGGAGAUGCGCAAGCAUCAACGGUGAAAUACCACUACUCGGAUUGUUGCUUUGCUCAUCGCAUCGAAUAGGAACGGCAGUCGCCCGGCUUUUGUCGGGUUGAGGAUCCCCCCUCGGGGAGAUCCGUGGCUUUUCCGAUUCGAGCGGUAACCACAGAUCUUUCUGUGGGACCUAUCGCUGCGAGACAUUGGCCAGAUGGGGAGUUUGGCUGGGGCGGCAUAUCUGUUAAACUCUAACGCAGGUGUCCUAAGGCACACUCAGUGAGAACAGAAAUCUUACGUGGCGGAUAAGGCCAAAAGUGUGCUUGAGCUCUCGAUCUCCAGUACUGAUCCAGACUGUGAAAGCAAGGCCUAACGAUCCUUUGUACUCAUCAUGUUCAGAGUACGAAGUCAGAGGUGACAGAAAAAUUACCACAGGGAUAACUGGCUUGUGGCAGCCAAGAGUCCAUAUCGACGCUGCUUUUUGAUCCUUCGAUGUCGGCUCUUCCUAUCCUUACCCUGCAGAAGAGGUAAAGGGUUGGAUUGUUCACCCAUCAAAAGGGAACGUGAGCUGGGUUUAGACCGUCGUGAGACAGGUU
This 2368-nucleotide ribosomal RNA is filed under the name wastewater metagenome. RNAcentral describes it as "eukaryotic LSU rRNA". It matches the Rfam family "Eukaryotic large subunit ribosomal RNA", at positions 749 to 2984 of the family's 3401-position model. The record is from RNAcentral.